RNAcentral lists this long non-coding RNA (983 nucleotides) under Prunus dulcis (almond). Its description in RNAcentral is "sRNA ncRNA". The record is from RNAcentral. Lineage: Eukaryota; Viridiplantae; Streptophyta; Magnoliopsida; Rosales; Rosaceae.
CCUACUCUCUCUUUGUGCACAGUCAAAUUCCACCGCCUCGCUUUUAGGUGGUAGAAGUACAAAGGCUUAUUAGGUUAGGACUUUCUGGGGUUUUGCGGAGAGAGAAAAGAGAGGAAGGCAGAAUGAUGGUAUAGCUUUGUGAUAAUUAUCUCCAUGUGGAAGAAGCAAUAUUAGCCAUCAAAUCCAGUUCUCUUGAAACUGUAUAGAAAUCUCUUCUUCACUCCCUUCAAAGCCAAAAAAAAAAAAAAAAAAAAAAAAACAAUAACCAGCUCGCUGCACAGCGGUUUUAAUCAUCAUGUCUUCUCCUCUCUUCCUCUCAUCAUUAGCCCCUCACACUCCUCAUCAUCGCCAUCACCACUGCUACUCCUACUCCUUCUUAAGCCACCCGCCAACCCCACCAAAACCACCCUCCACCUCGAAGAUCAAACCGAGAAGAAAGCGAAAGAAGACUAAAGAGCAAGCUAGGCCGUUAGAUUUAGACUAGAGAAGAUGGGUUCACUCAAGAAGAAGAAACCCUACCUACCAUCCGUUUCCAGUAAUCUAUUCUGAAUACCGAUCGAAGGGUUAGCUAGGGUCAAGAUCUUCUUCUUGGAUCUCGAUAUAUGCUAGCAGCAGAUUUUGAUGUUAGUUUCUUCUCUCUUCUUCAUCUAUCUCUUGGGGAAUUGAAGCGUUGUGGUCCGAUUGUUUGCUGCAUCAAGCAAAUCUACACAAGUUUGAGUGCUUUCGUACGUCUGUUUGUACAAUGAUUUGCUUUUUUAAUUUUGUUGGUAUAUCGAUCUGAAUUGAAUUCGUGAGAGUCUCGGGACUCAUAUAUACCUAGUAAGUAUGUUUGGGCUUUGGUUUAGUUGAUUGAAUAAUAGGAUCCUAUCAUUUGUGUUUGUGUUCUUUGUGUUCCUUGUGUUCUUUGUGUUGUGUGCUUGUGCUGUAAAAAAAGAAAAAAAAGAAGAACAUUCAAUAUACAUAUCAUGUACGUUCAAUUCCUC